UUGGAGGGCAAGUCUGGUGCCAGCAGCCGCGGUAAUUCCAGCUCCAAUAGCGUAUAUUAAAGUUGUUGCAGUUAAAAAGCUCGUAGUUGAAUUUCGGGGUUCUACCGUUGGUCGGGCUUUGUCUGUACUGGUGUGUAGAAUUUCUACCUUCUGGGGAACCAUCAUGCUAUUAAUUUAGCGUGGUGGGAAACCAGGACCUUUACCUUGAAAAAAUUAGUGUGUUCAAAGCAGGCUUAUGUCUGAAUACAUUAGCGUGGAAUAAUAGAAUAGGACGGUGGUCCUGUUUUGUUGGUUUCUGAAUCACCGUAAUGAUUAAUAGGGAUAGUUGGGGGCAUUAGUAUUCAAUUGUCAGAGGUGAAAUUCUUGGAUUUAUUGAAGACUAACUACUGCGAAAGCAUUUGCCAAGGAUGUUUUCAUUAAUCAAGAACGAAAGUUAGGGGAUCGAAGACGAUCAGAUACCGUCGUAGUCUUAACCAUAAACUAUGCCGACUAGGGAUCGGAUGAUGUUAAUUUUUUAAUUACUCAUUCGGCGCCUUACGGGAAAC
RNAcentral lists this ribosomal RNA (545 nucleotides) under uncultured Glomeromycotina. RNAcentral's name for it is "SSU rRNA". It matches the Rfam family "Eukaryotic small subunit ribosomal RNA", at positions 548 to 1098 of the family's 1831-position model. Lineage: Eukaryota; Fungi; Glomeromycota. The record is from RNAcentral.